Molecule: transfer RNA, 93 nt
Filed under: Lampropedia aestuarii
Lineage: Bacteria; Pseudomonadati; Pseudomonadota; Betaproteobacteria; Burkholderiales; Comamonadaceae
Description: tRNA-Leu
Rfam family: tRNA
About the family: Transfer RNA (tRNA) molecules are approximately 80 nucleotides in length. Their secondary structure includes four short double-helical elements and three loops (D, anti-codon, and T loops).
Source: RNAcentral
GCCCCGGUGGUGGAACUGGUAGACACAUCGGACUUAAAAUCCGCCGCUUACCGUCAAAGGGGCGUGCCGGUUCGAUUCCGGCCCGGGGCACCA